Molecule: long non-coding RNA, 260 nt
Filed under: Amborella trichopoda
Lineage: Eukaryota; Viridiplantae; Streptophyta; Magnoliopsida; Amborellales; Amborellaceae
Description: long non-coding RNA (ATRI_LNC001076)
Source: RNAcentral
UUAACCCUCUGCAACUCCGGUAACUUAUCAUCUUCUCAGCGAGCACCUCGAUUUUCAACCAGCUUUUAUGAUUUCCACUUCCGUUAUUUCGAUAUCACAGGAACACCCUCUAUUGGCUGUGUUUUCAAAACUCUCAUCAUUACUGCAUAAAAAAAGAUUCCGACCAAUCUUUCGACUUCCCUAUCCAGUAUCCGGCAACUUCCGUGUUCUGAAGAGCAUCAAUCUAAUCCCCCCACAAGUAAAGCCUACGGUUGUCAAGC